GUAAGCCUCAAGCAACAAAUGUGGAUGAAACAUGGGAGAGCUUACCUGGAAGAAAAAUGGCAGCACUGUAGAGGACAACCUGGGAUGGAGACUAUCACAAACAAGAAGAUUUGGGUUGCUCUUUCCAUGUGCCAGACAAAACCUCAGGAGUGAAGCCCACUGAGGAGGAGAAGAAGACUUUAAGGAUAUCUGAGAAGAGAAUCCCCAGGACCUUGUUGAGAAAAUGGUUUUCUGAUGCUAAGCUAUAGUGUGUUUGAUCCUGAAGUUUUAUCUCCUGUUAACCUUCUGUCAAGAAUUAAGGAGCUCCUGUGGACCCUGCCCAUCUUGUACUCCAACCUGAGUUCAAGCAAACGUGAAUACAGAAUACCAACGUUUCCUUCAGAGGCCAAUAAGAAAUAAAAAACGUUAAUACAAGGAACAGAGGAGAUGCAGAUGGAUUGGUGAAUUAGGCUGGGGACUGCAGCACCAAUGGCCUGGUCUAGGCACUUUAUCAGAGCAGCUCAGGGGUGCCAGUGAAAAUAACA
Long non-coding RNA from Mastomys coucha (southern multimammate mouse), 524 nucleotides. RefSeq lists it as uncharacterized. The transcript is spliced from 3 exons. The record is from RefSeq and is a predicted model, not a curated record. Lineage: Eukaryota; Metazoa; Chordata; Mammalia; Rodentia; Muridae.